This 468-nucleotide ribosomal RNA is filed under the name uncultured bacterium. Its description in RNAcentral is "partial 16S ribosomal RNA". It matches the Rfam family "Bacterial small subunit ribosomal RNA", at positions 28 to 507 of the family's 1533-position model. The record is from RNAcentral.
GACGAACGCUGGCGGCGUGCUUAACACAUGCAAGUCGAACGGAAAGGCCCUGCUUUUGUGGGGUGCUCGAGUGGCGAACGGGUGAGUAACACGUGAGUAACCUGCCCUUGACUUUGGGAUAACUUCAGGAAACUGGGGCUAAUACCGGAUAGGAGCUCCUGCUGCAUGGUGGGGGUUGGAACGUUUCGGCGGUUGGGGAUGGACUCGCGGCUUAUCAGCUUGUUGGUGGGGUAGUGGCUUACCAAGGCUUUGACGGGUAGCCGGCCUGAGAGGGUGACCGGCCACAAUGGGACUGAGAGACGGCGCAGACUGCAACGGGAGGCAGCGGUGGGAAAUAUGGCACAAUGGGCGGAAGCCGGAGGCAGCAACGUCGCGUGCGGGAUGACGGCCUGCGGGUUGUGAACCGCUGUCGCCUGUGACGAAGCGGUAGUGACGGUAAUGGGUAAAGAAGCACCGGCUAACUACGUG